UUUGACUUUUCCCAAAAAAGUCAACUGUUGACUUUUUGACCAAAAGUGAAUUCCGGAAAAUUUUGUGUCUAUAGACUAUUUUUACUAAUUUUAUCGUUCCGGACUCAAAUAUCACGUCCGCGUCUCCAAAUUUAACUCCGAACACAACUUCAAUUUUAAUAACAUUCAUCAUUAAUAUUAUAACUCACAAUAUUUAUCAACCAAG
This 205-nucleotide long non-coding RNA is filed under the name Panax ginseng (ginseng). Its description in RNAcentral is "long non-coding RNA (PGIN_LNC018193)". The record is from RNAcentral. Lineage: Eukaryota; Viridiplantae; Streptophyta; Magnoliopsida; Apiales; Araliaceae.